This is a long non-coding RNA of Pan troglodytes (chimpanzee), 911 nucleotides long. RefSeq lists it as uncharacterized. Lineage: Eukaryota; Metazoa; Chordata; Mammalia; Primates; Hominidae. The transcript is spliced from 3 exons. The record is from RefSeq and is a predicted model, not a curated record.
UUCCUUAGAUGUUAUGAUCCAGCUAUGAUCCAGCUUUACACUUUCUUCACCCAGAAGUGACCUCACCUUUUCAUGACAGAGGAAACAGAAGCCAUGGACUUCUUAAUGCUAUAUCUCACAAACCUGUAUGCAUUAACAGGAUGGAGUUUCUGUUUAUACUGUGAUGGGGAGGAUUGUGUAAGGAUCAGAUUUUGCAGUGGUAGCAGCUGGAGGAAUCAAUUUAGUUUCGGAAUGUUGAGUUUGAGAUGCUAUUAAACAUGGAGGAGAUAUUCAAAUUCUUGAAUUUCAGGGUAAAAGGAGGAAUUUACAAAGGAAAAAGAAAAUGACAUCUCUAGACUUUAGAAUGCAACCAAGAAUCCCUUUUUCAGUAAUAAACCCACUUGACAUUUUACAAAAAUGGAUAAGUGAAAGAGAGACUUGGCCACAGACAUGAAAGUACAGCACAGAAACAAAAAGUUACAACACUGGAAGUGAAAUUUGAAUUAACCAUUUGUGGGGUUUUAGAUGAAAUGGUUGACUGAGAAUGUUGAUCCUGCUGCCAUUCAAACAAGAGACUCUACAUAUGCAUCCAGCCAGAGAAAUUUAGUGACAGCAAAACUGUUGGCAUAAAUAAGGAAAUAAGGAAGAUGUCCCAGAGGAAGUGAAAUAUAUCUUCACAUUUAAGGAAUUCUUAAAGAUAUCUCAUGACAUUGAAAAUGCAAAAGGUAAAACGUCAAAAGCUGAUCCAAACUUAGGAAUAUGACAAUUCGCCAAGCAAAGAAAGGGUGCUUGCUCUAUUGUGUUACAUCAUGAGAAGACACUGCUUAAACUAUUACUGAUGUUUUUUUACAAAGAUAUAAAGCACUUUAAUUCUAAAAGUUUCUAAUGCUUUAAAUUACAAUGUAUUAAAUAAAUAUUAGUUUUACUACUUU